GAUGAACGCUGGCGGCGUGCUUAACACAUGCAAGUCGAACGGAAAGGCCCUGCUUUCGUGGGGUGCCCGCGUGGCGAACGGGAGAGUAACACGUGAGUAACCCGCCCUUGACUUUGGGAUAACUUCAGGCAACUGGGGAUACCACCGGAUAGGAGCUCCUGCUGCAUGGUGGGGGUCGGACCGUUUCGGCGGUUGGGGAUGGACUCGCGGCUUAUCAGCUUGUUGGUGGGGUAGUGGCUUACCAAGGCGUUGACGGGUAGCCGGCCUGGGAGGGUGACCGGCCACAUUGGGAUUGGGGAGCGACCCGUACGCCAACGGGGGGCAGCGGUGGGAAAUAGUGCACAAUGGGCGGAGGCUGGAUGCAGCAACGCCGGGUGGGGAAGGACGGCCUGCGGGUUGUAAGCCGAUUACGCUUAUAACGAGGCGUGAGGGAGGUAAAUGGGUAAAGAAGCACCGGCUAACUAGUU
Molecule: ribosomal RNA, 467 nt
Filed under: uncultured bacterium
Lineage: Bacteria
Description: partial 16S ribosomal RNA
Rfam family: Bacterial small subunit ribosomal RNA
Source: RNAcentral